This 626-nucleotide long non-coding RNA is filed under the name Setaria italica (foxtail millet). RNAcentral's name for it is "long non-coding RNA (SITA_LNC001246)". The record is from RNAcentral. Lineage: Eukaryota; Viridiplantae; Streptophyta; Magnoliopsida; Poales; Poaceae.
GUGCCCGGUGCGCCCACUCAAGCCAUUGCACAUUGCCUAUCUUAUCUUCACUUGUUCAUCAGUGGCUGGCUCUUUCCAGGAGCCAAACAAAACCAAACAGCAUAAUCUAGCAACUUGCAGUUAAAUAGCCCGCAGGAUUAGGCUUCGAGCAGAAACGGCAGCCGCUGGAUUUGCCGCUCGGGUCAUCGAGCAAGAAGGGAUCGCUCGGAGCCUUGCACUUGCAGGAGCCACACUUGGUGGAUGCUACCGGAGGAGCACUGGUAGCUGCAGGCCACAAAAGCGCAAAGCGACGCCGGGGACUUGGCAUUGGUCCCGAGUCCUGACAUCCUGACGUGGUGGUGGCAACUGUGGUUCAAGGCAUCUGGACGAGGUGAAACUUGAAAGCCUCGUCCGCUUUCUGAAAGUGGCAUGCGUUUCUUCUCUUGUGUCUUGUGUGCAUUGCAUGCAGAUGCAGAUGCGUUGGUUGAUGGCUUGACGCGGGCAGGCAGUCACUGGGGCAGUGGCCAGCUGGAGCGUGGAGCCUGUAUAUUCAUGGGACAAGUGGCUACACUGUACAUUUAUUUAUCUCACGCAUAACAAUCGUGUGUGCAAUUUAUAAGCAACGAAUGUCCUAUAGUACAAUAGGG